This 345-nucleotide unclassified non-coding RNA is filed under the name soil metagenome. Its description in RNAcentral is "partial contains 5.8S ribosomal RNA, internal transcribed spacer 2, and large subunit ribosomal RNA". The stretch from base 1 to 120 matches the Rfam family "5.8S ribosomal RNA", at positions 35 to 154 of the family's 154-position model. The record is from RNAcentral.
GAUGAAGAACGCAGCGAAAUGCGACACGUAAUGUGAAUUGCAGAAUUCAGUGAAUCAUCGAGUCUUUGAACGCACAUUGCGCCCCCUGGUAUUCCGGGGGGCAUGCCUGUCCGAGCGUCAUUGCUGCCCUCAAGCACGGCUUGUGUGUUGGGCCUCCGUCCUCCUCCCGGGGGACGGGCCCGAAAGGCAGCGGCGGCACCGCGUCCGGUCCUCGAGCGUAUGGGGCUUCGUCACCCGCUCUUGUAGGCCCGGUCGGCGCUUGCCGACACAUCAAUCUUUUUUCCAGGUUGACCUCGGAUCAGGUAGGGAUACCCGCUGAACUUAAGCAUAUCAAUAAGCGGAGGA